Molecule: ribosomal RNA, 579 nt
Filed under: Nigrograna chromolaenae
Lineage: Eukaryota; Fungi; Ascomycota; Dothideomycetes; Pleosporales; Nigrogranaceae
Description: SSU rRNA
Rfam family: Eukaryotic small subunit ribosomal RNA
Source: RNAcentral
AUACAGGGCUCUUUUGGGUCUUGUAAUCGGAAUGAGUACAAUUUAAACCCCUUAACGAGGAACAAUUGGAGGGCAAGUCUGGUGCCAGCAGCCGCGGUAAUUCCAGCUCCAAUAGCGUAUAUUAAAGUUGUUGCAGUUAAAAAGCUCGUAGUUGAACCUUGGGCCUGGCUGGCCGGUCCGCCUCACCGCGUGUACUGGUCCGGCCGGGCCUUUCCUUCUGGAGAUCCUCAUGCCCUUCACUGGGUGUGUUGGGGAACCAGGACUUUUACUGUGAACAAAUUAGAGUGUUCAAAGCAGGCCUUUGCUCGAAUACAUUAGCAUGGAAUAAUAGAAUAGGACGUGCGGUCCUAUUUUGUUGGUUUCUAGGACCGCCGUAAUGAUUAAUAGGGAUAGUCGGGGGCAUCAGUAUUCAAUUGUCAGAGGUGAAAUUCUUGGAUUUAUUGAAGACUAACUACUGCGAAAGCAUUUGCCAAGGAUGUUUUCAUUAAUCAGUGAACGAAAGUUAGGGGAUCGAAGACGAUCAGAUACCGUCGUAGUCUUAACCGUAAACUAUGCCGACUAGGGAUCGGGCGAUGUUUC